UUCGUAUGCCGUUGCAAUAUUUCAGUCAAUAACGCACAGAUGGCAUUCGCUUCUGAAACCAGUGCCUGGCGGCCGCGUUCCAUAUGUUUCUGAAAGAUAUCAUGUGAACGGAUGUCUGUGCUAUUGAGCUGGCAGGCACGUACUACCGUCUGCUCGAUGAGCAUCUCUGUUAGUUCAUCACAGGAGCCGAGCGUGCUGUAAGCGAGACACAGAUUUUCAUGAUCCGGCAGGUUCUUGCGCAGAUACUUGAUUUCACCGGCAAGCGAUAACUGCAUCAAACGCAGCAGACCGGCACGCAUGUGUUUGUCAGCCUUGGCAG
Molecule: unclassified non-coding RNA, 319 nt
Filed under: uncultured fungus
Lineage: Eukaryota; Fungi
Description: sequence contains ITS1
Source: RNAcentral